This is a long non-coding RNA of Sinocyclocheilus rhinocerous, 451 nucleotides long. RefSeq lists it as uncharacterized. The transcript has 3 exons. The record is from RefSeq and is a predicted model, not a curated record. Lineage: Eukaryota; Metazoa; Chordata; Actinopteri; Cypriniformes; Cyprinidae.
UCUUUGACAGGUUUAUCAAUGCUCGAAGAAGAAUCGUGCAGCCCAUGAUUGAUCAGUCUAACAGAGCAGUAACUCAAGGAACCGCUUACAGUCCUGAUGGUCAGCCUAUGGGCGGCUUUGUGCUUGAGGGCCAACAACACAUGGGUCUCCGGCCUAGCGGUCCCAUGGGAGGAAUGGGUAUGAACAUGGGUAUGGAUGGACAGUGGCACUACAUGUAAACGCCUCCCCGCUUCCCAAACCAUAAACGUAAGGAAACGCUUUGGUACUUUGGAACAUCCCCUCUCUUUCUCCUUUCCCUCGGCGUGUGAAAUCUGAUUAUGGUGGCAAUUCGCUCUCCGACGACCCCCCCUCACACACACACGCGCACGCACCUUCUUUCCCCGGCUCCAUCUUCGCUGCCUGUCUCUGACAGUCCACAAAUCAAGACGUAUCGCCCGCCGCGGGCGGCCUG